RNAcentral lists this non-coding RNA (191 nucleotides) under Lachnospiraceae bacterium OttesenSCG-928-D06. RNAcentral's name for it is "6S RNA". It matches the Rfam family "6S / SsrS RNA". From Rfam's summary of the family: E. coli 6S RNA was the first non coding RNA to be sequenced, but its function was unknown until recently. It consists of 184 nucleotides that fold into an extended hairpin structure with a large single-stranded internal bulge. The 6S RNA specifically associates with RNA polymerase holoenzyme containing the sigma70 specificity factor. Lineage: Bacteria; Bacillati; Bacillota; Clostridia; Lachnospirales; Lachnospiraceae. The record is from RNAcentral.
AAUAACCUGAGAUGUCAAAAAACUCUUGUCGUUUUUGAACCUACAUUACUUUAAAAGGGAUUCUUAUAUUGUCAGAUGGCUAUCAAGCCUCCACUCGAAAGAGGAUUGCAGGGGAAGACAAAAGUCUGAUUGCGGUUGCCCACCUAGCGUUUGCUAGGAGUCAAAAGGCAAGAGCGGCAUUUUGGGGAUAU